UGACUGUUUACCAAAAACAUAGCCCUAGAAACUAUCUAAGGUGUAACCUGCCCAGUGGCUUUUCUACCUAAGACAAUCUCUUUAAAAUAAAGCUAAAAGGACGCGGUAACCUUGACCGUGAUAAUGUAGCAUAAUCAUUCGCCAUUUAAUUGAUGGAUAGUAUGAAUGGUUGAACGAAUAUCCCACUGUCUUAGAGAGAAUUAAAGGAAAUUGAAAUGGUAGUUAAGAUGCUACCUAAAAUUGUAAGACGAAAAGACCCUAUAGAGCUUAACUAUAACUUCUUUAUAACCAAAUAGAAAAUAAUCUAAGAACUAAAGAGGUAGGUAGUUUAGUUGGGGCGACUGUCUUUUAUAGUAAACGAAGACAAGCAAAAUUAAUAAAAAAUUUACUGUAUAACUAAAGAAUUUAACAGUUAUUAUAAUAGGCUAUAAUGACCCGUCUACGCUUAGAAAUAAGGUAGACGAUCAAUUGAUAAAAGCUACCUUAUGGGAUAACAGGAUAAUUUCAUU
RNAcentral lists this ribosomal RNA (509 nucleotides) under Eirene hexanemalis. RNAcentral describes it as "partial 16S ribosomal RNA". It matches the Rfam family "Bacterial large subunit ribosomal RNA", at positions 1797 to 2492 of the family's 2925-position model. Lineage: Eukaryota; Metazoa; Cnidaria; Hydrozoa; Leptothecata; Eirenidae. The record is from RNAcentral.